This 253-nucleotide ribosomal RNA is filed under the name uncultured bacterium. RNAcentral's name for it is "partial 16S ribosomal RNA". It matches the Rfam family "Bacterial small subunit ribosomal RNA", at positions 524 to 776 of the family's 1533-position model. The record is from RNAcentral.
UACGGAGGGUGCAAGCGUUGUUCGGAAUCAUUGGGCGUAAAGCGCGUGUAGGCGGCUUGGCAAGUCGGUUGUGAAAUCCCGGGGCCCAACCCCGUAACUGCAUUCGAAACUGCCGCGCUAGAGUCCCGGAGAGGAGGGCGGAAUUCCCGGUGUAGAGGUGAAAUUCGUAGAUAUCGGGGGGAACACCAGCGGCGAAGGCGGCAUUCUGGACGGUGACUGACGCUGAGACGCGAAAGCGUGGGGAGCAAACAGG